AGAGUUUGAUCCUGGCUCAGGAUGAACGCUGGCGGCGUGCCUAAUACAUGCAAGUCGAGCGAGGCCCUUCGGGGCCUAGCGGCGGACGGGUGAGUAACACGUGGGUAACCUGCCUGUAAGACUGGGAUAACUUCGGGAGACCGAAGCUAAUACUGGAUAAUUUCGAGCAUCGCAUGAUGCUUGAUGGAAAGACGGCUUCGGCUGUCACUUACAGAUGGACCCGCGUCGCAUUAGCUAGUUGGUGAGGUAACGGCUCACCAAGGCGACGAUGCGUAGCCGACCUGAGAGGACAGACAGCCAGACUGGGACUGAGACACGGCCCAGACUCCUACGGGAGGCAGCAGCAAGGAAUUUUCGUCAAUGGGCGAAAGCCUGAACGAGCAACGCCGCGUGCGGGACGACGGCCUUCGGGAUGUAAACCGCUUUUGGGAGGGAAGAGUUUGACGGUACCUUCCGAAUAAGCCCCGGCUAACUCUGUGCCAGCAGCCGCGGUAAGACAGAGGGGGCAAGCGUUGUCCGGACUGACUGGGCGUAAAGCGCGCGCAGGCGGUCGCGGGCGUCGGUGCUGAAAGCGCACCGCUUAACGGUGCGAUGCGUGCCGAUACGCCGCGACUGGAGCUCUGCAGAGGUCCGUGGAAUUGCCGGUGUAGUGGUGACAUGCGUAGAUAUCGGCAGGAACACCCAAGGGGAAGCCAGCGGACUGGGCAGCAGCUGACGCUGAGGCGCGACAGCGUGGGGAGCGAACGGGAUUAGAUACCCCGGUAGUCCACGCAGUAAACGAUGCCGACGAGGCGUGGGGGGAGUUGACCCCCCUCCGUGCCGGAGCCAACGCGGUAAGUCGGCCGCCUGGGGAGUACGGCCGCAAGGCUAAGACUCAAAGGAAUUGACGGGGGCCCGCACAAGCGGCGGAGCGUGCGGUUUAAUUCGACGCAACGCGCAGAACCUUACCCGGGCUUGACAUGCGCCUGCACGGUCGUGAAAGCGAUCAGCCUUCGAGGGUGGCGCACAGGUGCUGCAUGGCUGUCGUCAGCUCGUGUCGUGAGAUGUUGGGUUAAGUCCCGCAACGAGCGCAACCCUUGAUCUUAGUUGCCAGCAUUCAGUUGGGCACUCUAAGGUGACUGCCGGUGACAAACCGGAGGAAGGUGGGGAUGACGUCAAAUCAUCAUGCCCCUUAUGACCUGGGCUACACACGUGCUACAAUGGAUGGUACAAAGGGCUGCAAAACCGCGAGGUUAAGCCAAUCCCAUAAAACCAUUCUCAGUUCGGAUUGCAGGCUGCAACUCGCCUGCAUGAAGCCGGAAUCGCUAGUAAUCGCGGAUCAGCAUGCCGCGGUGAAUACGUUCCCGGGCCUUGUACACACCGCCCGUCACACCACGAGAGUUUGUAACACCCGAAGUCGGUGGGGUAACCUUUUUGGAGCCAGCCGCCUAAGGUGGGACAGAUGAUUGGGGUGAAGUCGUAACAAGGUAGCCGU
RNAcentral lists this ribosomal RNA (1474 nucleotides) under uncultured bacterium. RNAcentral describes it as "partial 16S ribosomal RNA". It matches the Rfam family "Bacterial small subunit ribosomal RNA". The record is from RNAcentral.